ACCUUCUUCUCUAGUUUAGGCAGUUGACCACCUCCCAUUGGCUAAGAGCAAACAUUAAUGUAAUUAUUCACUAAGACGUAAUUAAGAAAAUAAGCCUUUAACAGUUACUUCCCAUCUGACGGCUGCCAUUGGGUAGAUCAGACCUCAUUAUUAUAUCAUUAUUAUAGAUGCUUAGCCAUGAUCAAGAGCAUUUCCUUGAAAAAUAACGAAUAGAAUGAGAUUCGCAAGUAAGCAUACCAUGAGAUUCGCAAGGCCCCUAUACGAGGAGGAACAAACUCUAUGGCACAAAGAGUGAGUACCACAAUGGAACUUUAAUAGAGAAGAACGCUCACCUCGUUGGAGACCAUGGAGUUCUUAGUUGGUUUUGCAAUUCUCUUGAUCUUGGUUGUCUUCUCGAGCGUGUUCUACCUGAGAGUAGCAUCGCAAUCGCCAUCACUCCCCACUCCACUGCCGAUCAUCGGCCAUCUUUACCUCUUGGGAAAGCUCCCUCACCACUCUCUCCUCGCGAUCGCUCGAAAGUAUGGCCCCCUCGUCCAGCUCCAGCUUGGCUCGGUACCUGUGGUGAUCGCGUCAAGCCCCGAGAUGGCGAGAGAGUUUCUAAGAAACCAGGAUCUCAGCUUUGCGUCGAGGCCGACGUUGCUUACCACGAAGUACAUCCUCUACGACUCCAAGGACAUGGUUUUUGCUCCAUACGGCGAGCACUGGAGGAGCAUGAGGAAGCUGUGCGUUGUGGAGCUCCUGACGGACCGUCGCCUCGCCUCAUCGCAGCAGGCAAGGCUGGAAGAGCUACAGAGAUUGUUAGCGAAGAUCGCAAAAGUUGCGGACACGAGCGAACCUUUCGUGCUGCUAGAUCUGCUGACGGAGUUUACGUUCAACGUCAUCACCCGGAUGGUGAUGAACAAGGCUUACUUUGGA
Molecule: long non-coding RNA, 915 nt
Filed under: Selaginella moellendorffii
Lineage: Eukaryota; Viridiplantae; Streptophyta; Lycopodiopsida; Selaginellales; Selaginellaceae
Description: long non-coding RNA (SMOE_LNC000157)
Source: RNAcentral